UUGCCGAAAUGGGUAUGAAGACGCCUAUAGUUAUUUUGUAAAAAUCGUCAAUGGCUUUCUGGUAUUAUAGAAUUUAUUUUUUUUUUCAUUAAAUUUUAUUUUUACACGCAAGUUUGUUUUCCGUUCUCUAACUUCAAAAUUUUCGAUCUUUUCCUGACUUUGGUGUGUUUUGUCAUCGAAGCUUUGGCAACACUGCAUCUCUGUACGUGUGUUUAUUUGUUUGUAGCAUUCAUGUACAUAUAUAUGUCGGCCCUUCAUCCACUGCCCCCAAACGGUGAAUGAACUUUUCUCUUAUUGUUUUUAUUUUUGGCCGCUUUCCGCUAUCGUACGUAAUACUCAAUGCGCGCACACGCACACACACACACCUUUCACCGCCAGCCGCUCUUCGAUACACCACAGCAUGCCAACGCAACCGGCACGCAAACAACUCACACUCCUCUCUUUUUUUGCGCGCCAUAACUGGCGCUCACACUCCAAACACUCUUUUACACACGAACACCAACUCUUACUACACAAUUGAAUUCGGCAAUCGCGUGUUUUGCAAAACGAAGAGCGCCGCCCAAGUCAACCGAGCAGCAAAUGUGCUGACGAUGACGAUGACGGCAACGACGUAGACGACGACGACGGCGACGACAAUGAUCAAAGUUGGCGGUGUGUCGACAAUUCAAUACAACUUUGUCAUUUCUGUUGCUCACGUUGCACAGAUACGCCGCUCUGACGCUCUUUGCGCUUGUUUUCUUAGAGAGAUCUGUGUGUACAUUGCCGCCGCAAAUUAAAGUUGUCGUUGGUGUCGGUGUCGUCGUCGUCGUCGUCAUCAUCAUCGUUGUCAUAUACUUCGACGCCGUUGUUGUCACCUUCUUCUUGCACGCUGUCGUUGCCGCUGCCAUUGUCGUCUACGAUAUUAUUAUUAUUAUUACUGUUGUUAUUUGCCGACGACGUUACCGCUGACACCACUAAGUGCGCGUAGUGCCCAGAUUCAUGCGUGAACGCGGAAAUUUCUUUGCUUGCGGCAAAAAGUUAAACGUUUUGCAUAAAAAUUUUCGUAAAAAAUUCAACAAAUUCAAAGUGAAUUUGUAGCAAAUGGAUGUGAAGAAUUGAAGAAGUAGGUGUUGGAAGUUAGGCCGAAGGCACUUAACAUAGGAGUUUCGCAUCAUUGCCGAAGUGGAUUAACGGCAUUCAGUGUGCACAAGGAAACGGAAGUGUAAAAAGCUCCAUUAGCGGCAGUCAGCUGUCGAGUUGGUUUGUCACUUCCAUAUAUACGCCAGCAGCGAUUGUGAAGAAAUUAUAACUGUGUGUAAAUUGCGGAAUUUUCAAGUGAGAAAUUUUUACGAAAAUAUUUCGAUUUAUGUCAGUGUAGUGAAGUGGCCUGAAUACUGGUGCGGCAAGGCAACGAAAGCUUGAAAAAUAAUAGAGAUCGAAACGAGAAUAUUACGCGGUGGCUCAUACAUGCAGAUAUUUGCGACCAAAGAAAGAGUUUAAAAAUAAUUUUUUGAAAAAUUAGUAAAAUUUUGUGAAAGAUUUCUGAAGUGAAAUGUAAACGGGCAUUUGUAGAAAUAUUUUCAGUGAAUGAAGGUGCAGUAAUGAGUCAAAAUGCCAGCGAGUGAAAUGCCAAUCGAAGCAAAAAGGAAGGGCUAAGAUGGCGUGGAAAGGCUGAAAUAAUUCAAAAUGCUUAAAUUUUAGAAAAGUUCAAUACAAAACAAAAGCUCAUGCAAUAGAAAGCAAAUUUAAUUAUCGAAUGAUUUGGCAAGUUGAGCUAAAAUAAUUUGCGAAAAAGCAAAGAAAUUUCAGAGUAAAAACGAAUUGAGUGAAGUAAAGCACAGAUUUUCAAAAGAUGAAAUUAAACGAAUUUGCAAGUUGAAUAAAUGUGCGAAAAAAUUUGCAAAAAGUGCAAAGAAGUUUUAAAGGAGUAAAUAAAAAAAAAUUAUACAAAACACGAUUUAAGUUCAAGAAUGUUGCAUAGCGGAUUUCGAAGAAUUUUAUACCACAACAAAAAGAAAAGAUAAAUUAAGUCAAGCAGUGUUGAAGGCGAGAAAAAUACAUACAUAUUUACAGUCCAUAUUAAAUAAUACAAAAAUGCAAAACCCCUAGCACAAACUGUGGCACUUAGAAAAGAGAAAAAUUUAUAGAAAACGAAAAUUUUUGAAGACUAAAAUUAGCAGAAAAUUUAUAAAAAACGAAAAGUUCUGAAGACUAAAAUAAGCAGAAAAUUUAUAGAAAAAUAAAGAGUUCUGAAGGAAAAUAAUAAUAAAAAAUCGCAGUGUUUGAAAAAGUGUCUGUAUCCACGUUAAAAAAUAAAUUUGAUGCCAAAAUUGUGACUACUGCAUUGAAUGUCAAAAAAAAAAUUUAAAAAAAAACACAGAAUAUUACAGAAAGAAAUUACACUAAAAUGUAUUGAAAAGCGUAAAAAAAGGAGUUAUAAAAAUUAAUAAGUAAUUCAAAGCAAAAUCAAUGCAUUUAGGAAGUCGACAGAAACCCCGCUGAAAAAACCAAAACAAGCGCAGUAAAAGUAGCAAAAAAUGCAGGCGAAAAAACCUUAAAAAUAAAUUUAACAUAUUUUAAAAUUAUAUGAAAAAGCUUUCGAAGUGAAAUUAAAAAUUAAAAAGUUUAAAAAAUUUUAAGCCAAAAAUUAAAUUUAAAAUACUGCACGAAAAAUGCACGCAACUCAAUGAAUAACAGUGAGCGCGCAUUGAAAGGCGCUGGCAAAAAUGUUUAAAGGUGAAAGAAUAAAGCGGAAAAUAUAAUUUGUAAACACAAACCAGGCUUACAGAAAAAUGAAAAGAGCAAAAAAUUUAAUUUAAAAUAUUAAAAAAAUUUCAAUUUAAAAUAUUCAAUUAAAACUUCUGCAAAGCAGUAAACUGCAACAAAAGUACUAAAGAGCGCUGCACUAACGCCAGAGAAUCGUCAAAGCAAGGCUAGUAAAAGUAGCAAAAAGUGCACCAAAGGCUUAUGAAAAGUUGCCUAAAUACUAAAAUUAUAUUCAAAGCCUAUUCGUUAAUAAACAAAUAAUUUUUUUUUAUUCACACAAACUACUUUAAAUGCAUGAAUUUUAAACAUAUUUUUGUGUGACUCAAAGUAAAGAUCUCAGUAUUUCAGCGCACACGCACACAGGCACAUACAUAAACGCGUUAAAAUCGCUACGGCAAUAUUUGAAAAAAUCAACGAAACUACUAAAAAGCUUAUCCAACAGAUCUUCCUUUAAGUAAGCACAAAAAAAACAAUUUUUGCUCGUUAAAAAACACACCAAUUCUUCACAGAGUAAACCAAACUCAAAUACAAAAUAAUAUUAAAUCAAUCUCAGUUUGCUAGCAACCUACUAUUAAAUAUAAUGCAAAUUCUUUAAAUCCAACGGUCACAAAUUUUCAACUAAAUGCGCAGAAGAAAGAAAAUAUUUUUCAAAAUAUUGAUGAACUUCCACUUACAAAAUGGCUACCAAACUGGGGAAAACUUAGCCGAACAGUGAAAUGUGGUGUUGUAGUGCGCGAGCGGCGAGUUUGGAGACUUCUAUGACGACCUAUGUGGGAAUGUGAGAAGAGAAAUACAGUUAAUUUAAAUGUGGAUUUUUAAAUACAUAAAAGCAGCAAUAACAACUUCAUCGCAACUGUGAAAGAUCAAACAGUGACUAAAAAUCGACCCUCGCUUGCAUUGAAACGGCAAGCAAUUGGGAUUUGACCAAAAAGUGCGUAAAACAACUAUUUAUUACACUAAGAAAGGAAAUAGAAUAAUAGCAAAUAAAAAAAAAUAAAAAUUUAAAAGAAUACAAAUUUAAGCAAAAAAUAAUUGGCAAAAUAUAAAAAAAAAAUACAAAAAUAAAAAAUAAUUGGCAAAAUAUUAGCUUAACAAUAAAAAAAUAAAACAACAAACAUUUUUUAUAAGUAUUCAAAACCAUAUAAGUAUGUAAAAACAUAUAAAUACAGAUGGAUUAGUGGAACUAACAGUGUAAUGAAAGCAUACAACUUCAGCAACCAGCGAGAUAUUAAGCGGAGUAGACGGAUUAUAUAUUGAAAAGUGACAAAACUAGUGCUGCUACAAAAAAAAAAAAAAAAAAAAAAAAUAAUAA
Anastrepha ludens (Mexican fruit fly) is the source of this 4057-nucleotide long non-coding RNA. RefSeq lists it as uncharacterized. The record is from RefSeq and is a predicted model, not a curated record. The transcript is spliced from 2 exons. NCBI's taxonomy places the organism in Eukaryota, Metazoa, Arthropoda, Insecta, Diptera, Tephritidae.